GCAUAAUAUUAAGCAGGAAAUAGUUUAAGUAGAAUAUCAGCUUUGGGAGUUGAUGGUGGGGCUAAUGCCUUUUUCCUGA
Molecule: transfer RNA, 79 nt
Filed under: Elephantulus fuscipes (Dusky-footed elephant shrew)
Lineage: Eukaryota; Metazoa; Chordata; Mammalia; Macroscelidea; Macroscelididae
Description: tRNA-Pro
Rfam family: tRNA (bases 14-79)
About the family: Transfer RNA (tRNA) molecules are approximately 80 nucleotides in length.
Source: RNAcentral